RNAcentral lists this ribosomal RNA (508 nucleotides) under Rhitymna sp. SD691. Its description in RNAcentral is "partial 16S ribosomal RNA". It matches the Rfam family "Bacterial large subunit ribosomal RNA", at positions 1796 to 2644 of the family's 2925-position model. The record is from RNAcentral. Lineage: Eukaryota; Metazoa; Arthropoda; Arachnida; Araneae; Sparassidae.
UCGACUGUUUAUCAAAAACAUUUUUAAUAGAAUUAUUAUUAAUAUAGCCUGCUCAAUGAAUCAUUAAAUAGCCGCAGCUCAUACUGUGCUAAGGUAGCAUAAUCAUUUGUCUUUUAAUUGAAGACUAGAAUGAACGGCCAAACAUUUAUAAAAUUAUAAAAAAAUUCAAAUUUAAACUUUUUUUUAAAGUUAAAAAACUUUAAUUAAUCAGAAAGACGACAAGACCCUAUUGAACUUCACUUCAGUUUAACUGGGGCAGUUAAUAAACUAUAUUUUUAUAUUUUACAUUUUUAAAAAAUGACCUGAUUCAAUCAAUUUCAUAAUUAAGUUACCAUAGGGAUAACAGCGUAAUAAAUUUUUAUAGAUCUUAUAUAAAAAAUAGAUUGCGACCUCGAUGUUGAAUUAUUAAUCCUAUAAAUGCAACCAUUUAUUAAGAAAGUCUGUUCGACUUUUAAUUAAUUACAUGAUUUGAGUUCAGACCGGUAUAAGCCAGGUCGGUUUCUAUCUU